UCUUUGGUGGAAAAGAAAACAAGUUAUGACACAAGCCUGAGACCUUCUAUUUGAACUCUAAGCUUUGGAAAUGGCAGGAACAGGUUUACAAACACAAAGAGAGAUUUGAAGUCAGAAACACCGCAGGAAUCAAGCUUCCCAGAAUUCUUUUCCUGCCAGUAUGUCCACCCUUUACCACCUCUUCCAUUUCUCUAGUCACCCACCAGCAAGCAGAAGAGCCAUUCUGGGGAGGUUCUCAUCCUCAGAGAGAGGAAUUAAAGACAAAAUCUGGCAAGUUGA
This is a long non-coding RNA of Nannospalax galili (Upper Galilee mountains blind mole rat), 279 nucleotides long. RefSeq lists it as uncharacterized. NCBI's taxonomy places the organism in Eukaryota, Metazoa, Chordata, Mammalia, Rodentia, Spalacidae. The record is from RefSeq and is a predicted model, not a curated record. The transcript is spliced from 2 exons.